This 403-nucleotide ribosomal RNA is filed under the name Bacteroidota bacterium. RNAcentral describes it as "Bacteroidetes bacterium partial 16S ribosomal RNA". It matches the Rfam family "Bacterial small subunit ribosomal RNA", at positions 355 to 776 of the family's 1533-position model. Lineage: Bacteria; Pseudomonadati; Bacteroidota. The record is from RNAcentral.
UGGGGAAUAUUGCACAAUGGAGGGAACUCUGAUGCAGCGACGCCGCGUGAUUUAGAAGGCCUUCGGGUUGUAAAAAUCUUUUCUAUGGGAAGAAAAUGACAGUACCAUAGGAAUAAGGACCGGCUAAUUACGUGCCAGCAGCCGCGGUAAUACGUAGGGCGCAAGCGUUAUCCGGAAUUAUUGGGCGUAAAGAGCUUGUAGGCGGUUCGUCGCGUCUGGUGUGAAAGCCCAUCGCUUAACGGUGGGUUUGCGCCGGGUACGGGCGGGCUAGAGUGCAGUAGGGGAGACUGGAAUUCUCGGUGUAACGGUGGAAUGUGUAGAUAUCGGGAAGAACACCAAUGGCGAAGGCAGGUCUCUGGGCUGUUACUGACGCUGAGAAGCGAAAGCGUGGGGAGCGAACAGG